This 243-nucleotide ribosomal RNA is filed under the name uncultured bacterium. Its description in RNAcentral is "partial 16S ribosomal RNA". It matches the Rfam family "Bacterial small subunit ribosomal RNA", at positions 534 to 776 of the family's 1533-position model. The record is from RNAcentral.
GCAAACGUUGCUCGGAAUUAUUGGGCGUAAAGCGCGCGUAGGCGGCUACUUAAGUCGGAUGUGAAAGCCCUUGGCUCAACUGAGGAAGUGCACCCGAAACUGAGUGGCUUGAGUACUAAAGAGGGUCGCGGAAUUCCCGGUGUAGAGGUGAAAUUCGUAGAUAUCGGGGGGAACACCGGUGGCGAAGGCGGCGACCUGGGUAGAUACUGACGCUGAGGCGCGAAAGCGUGGGGAGCAAACAGG